RNAcentral lists this non-coding RNA (27 nucleotides) under Homo sapiens (human). The record is from RNAcentral. Lineage: Eukaryota; Metazoa; Chordata; Mammalia; Primates; Hominidae.
CCAGGUGAUGCUAAGCUGGACUCUGGA